Topomyia yanbarensis is the source of this 909-nucleotide long non-coding RNA. RefSeq lists it as uncharacterized. The record is from RefSeq and is a predicted model, not a curated record. The transcript has 3 exons. NCBI's taxonomy places the organism in Eukaryota, Metazoa, Arthropoda, Insecta, Diptera, Culicidae.
GUUAGACACAAAAACGCAGCUUUGUCAAAUCCUAGUCUCGGUUUCUGCAAUUUCUUUACCUUAAAACAGCUCCAUCUUAACAUCGAUAGUGAUUCAGCCAUCCCAUUCGCAACAAUAGCCACGAUCCCAGAGUUUUUCACCAACAUUUCACAACAGAAGCAGCAAAUUAUGAUUUUCCGUCAUCCGACAAAUAAACGAUACUUCUGCCACAGGAUUUGACGCUAAUUAAACAACUGCAACUAGUACAAACUUCAAGGUGCAAACAACCACAAACUAGAAUUAUCAUCACCCAUUACCGCAUUAGGACACAGCAAAGGCACCUUCAGGUACAAUAGUAGCAGUAUACAAUACAGUUUCAAGCACCGCUAGCAGGAGGAUCCACUAUUCAGUUGGUGCAGCAAGAUUGAAUUGACCAUAAAUCCAACCGUAAACACAACAGCAAGGUGCUUGGAAGGAAUUUGUGUGCGUAUGACUCGUUUGGAAAAAGUGCUUACCCUCGGAACCUCAGUUCUCUUGCACGCUGCCGGAGAAAUCCGUCACCAUUAAGUUGAACAAGAACCAGGAUGAGUCCUUCAGGGAGACGACGCGCAAGGGUUGAUGUUGGAAUCGCAGAUCACGCUCUGAAAAUAUCGCAAGCUAGAUCCCUCUCAGCAGCACGCAGUAAACCCUGACAGGAAAGGUGGGGCGCAAAAUCCCUGUAAACCAACGACAGCCCGACAAGAUUCAGUGGUUGUUAAUAUUUAGCAUAGCGUAAAAAGCGUAGUAGAAGGUAGAUGGCCCAUAAUAGCAAGCCAGUCCCAUGGUUUGUACUGUCGCUAUACGCUUGAUUUUCCCUAUGCUAUGGGCUUCUCGAUGUGCAUCACAUUAAGUAAAAAAACAUCAAGAAAAUGAGAUGAAAAUUUGCAGCAU